CAUUAAGAAGCUAUGAAUCAGCAUUAGCCUUUUAAGCUAAAGAAAGAGGGGGCCGCCCUCCUUAAUGA
RNAcentral lists this transfer RNA (68 nucleotides) under Molothrus rufoaxillaris. RNAcentral describes it as "tRNA-Lys". The record is from RNAcentral. Lineage: Eukaryota; Metazoa; Chordata; Aves; Passeriformes; Icteridae.